UAAGCGACUAAGCGUACACGGUGGAUGCCCUGGCAGUCAGAGGCGAUGAAGGACGUGCUAAUCUGCGAUAAGACGUCGGUAAGGUGAUAUGAACCGUUAUAACCGGCGAUUUCCGAAUGGGGAAACCCAGUGUGUUUCGACACACUAUCAUUAACUGAAUCCAUAGGUUAAUGAGGCGAACCGGGGGAACUGAAACAUCUAAGUACCCCGAGGAAAAGAAAUCAACCGAGAUUCCCCCAGUAGCGGCGAGCGAACGGGGAGCAGCCCAGAGCCUGAAUCAGUGUGUGUGUUAGUGGAAGCGUCUGGAAAGGCGCGCGAUACAGGGUGACAGCCCCGUACACAAAAAUGCACAUACUGUGAGCUCGAUGAGUAGGGCGGGACACGUGGUAUCCUGUCUGAAUAUGGGGGGACCAUCCUCCAAGGCUAAAUACUCCUGACUGACCGAUAGUGAACCAGUACCGUGAGGGAAAGGCGAAAAGAACCCCGGCGAGGGGAGUGAAAAAGAACCUGAAACCGUGUACGUACAAGCAGUGGGAGCCUCUUUUAUGGGGUGACUGCGUACCUUUUGUAUAAUGGGUCAGCGACUUAUAUUCUGUAGCAAGGUUAACCGAAUAGGGGAGCCGAAGGGAAACCGAGUCUUAACCGGGCGUUAAGUUGCAGGGUAUAGACCCGAAACCCGGUGAUCUAGCCAUGGGCAGGUUGAAGGUUGGGUAACACUAACUGGAGGACCGAACCGACUAAUGUUGAAAAAUCAGCGGAUGACUUGUGGCUGGGGGUGAAAGGCCAAUCAAACCGGGAGAUAGCUGGUUCUCCCCGAAAGCUAUUUAGGUAGCGCCUCGUGAAUUCAUCUCCGGGGGUAGAGCACUGUUUCGGCAAGGGGGUCAUCCCGACUUACCAACCCGAUGCAAACUGCGAAUACCGGAGAAUGUUAUCACGGGAGACACACGGCGGGUGCUAACGUCCGUCGUGAAGAGGGAAACAACCCAGACCGCCAGCUAAGGUCCCAAAGUCAUGGUUAAGUGGGAAACGAUGUGGGAAGGCCCAGACAGCCAGGAUGUUGGCUUAGAAGCAGCCAUCAUUUAAAGAAAGCGUAAUAGCUCACUGGUCGAGUCGGCCUGCGCGGAAGAUGUAACGGGGCUAAACCAUGCACCGAAGCUGCGGCAGCGACACUGUGUGUUGUUGGGUAGGGGAGCGUUCUGUAAGCCUGUGAAGGUGUACUGUAAGGUAUGCUGGAGGUAUCAGAAGUGCGAAUGCUGACAUAAGUAACGAUAAAGCGGGUGAAAAGCCCGCUCGCCGGAAGACCAAGGGUUCCUGUCCAACGUUAAUCGGGGCAGGGUGAGUCGACCCCUAAGGCGAGGCCGAAAGGCGUAGUCGAUGGGAAACAGGUUAAUAUUCCUGUACUUGGUGUUACUGCGAAGGGGGACGGAGAAGGCUAUGUUGGCCGGGCGACGGUUGUCCCGGUUUAAGCGUGUAGGCUGGUUUUCCAGGCAAAUCCGGAAAAUCAAGGCUGAGGCGUGAUGACGAGGCACUACGGUGCUGAAGCAACAAAUGCCCUGCUUCCAGGAAAAGCCUCUAAGCAUCAGGUAACAUCAAAUCGUACCCCAAACCGACACAGGUGGUCAGGUAGAGAAUACCAAGGCGCUUGAGAGAACUCGGGUGAAGGAACUAGGCAAAAUGGUGCCGUAACUUCGGGAGAAGGCACGCUGAUAUGUAGGUGAAGUCCCUCGCGGAUGGAGCUGAAAUCAGUCGAAGAUACCAGCUGGCUGCAACUGUUUAUUAAAAACACAGCACUGUGCAAACACGAAAGUGGACGUAUACGGUGUGACGCCUGCCCGGUGCCGGAAGGUUAAUUGAUGGGGUCAGCGCAAGCGAAGCUCUUGAUCGAAGCCCCGGUAAACGGCGGCCGUAACUAUAACGGUCCUAAGGUAGCGAAAUUCCUUGUCGGGUAAGUUCCGACCUGCACGAAUGGCGUAAUGAUGGCCAGGCUGUCUCCACCCGAGACUCAGUGAAAUUGAACUCGCUGUGAAGAUGCAGUGUACCCGCGGCAAGACGGAAAGACCCCGUGAACCUUUACUAUAGCUUGACACUGAACAUUGAGCCUUGAUGUGUAGGAUAGGUGGGAGGCUUUGAAGUGUGGACGCCAGUCUGCAUGGAGCCGACCUUGAAAUACCACCCUUUAAUGUUUGAUGUUCUAACGUGGACCCGUGAUCCGGGUUGCGGACAGUGUCUGGUGGGUAGUUUGACUGGGGCGGUCUCCUCCUAAAGAGUAACGGAGGAGCACGAAGGUUGGCUAAUCCUGGUCGGACAUCAGGAGGUUAGUGCAAUGGCAUAAGCCAGCUUGACUGCGAGCGUGACGGCGCGAGCAGGUGCGAAAGCAGGUCAUAGUGAUCCGGUGGUUCUGAAUGGAAGGGCCAUCGCUCAACGGAUAAAAGGUACUCCGGGGAUAACAGGCUGAUACCGCCCAAGAGUUCAUAUCGACGGCGGUGUUUGGCACCUCGAUGUCGGCUCAUCACAUCCUGGGGCUGAAGUAGGUCCCAAGGGUAUGGCUGUUCGCCAUUUAAAGUGGUACGCGAGCUGGGUUUAGAACGUCGUGAGACAGUUCGGUCCCUAUCUGCCGUGGGCGCUGGAGAACUGAGGGGGGCUGCUCCUAGUACGAGAGGACCGGAGUGGACGCAUCACUGGUGUUCGGGUUGUCAUGCCAAUGGCACUGCCCGGUAGCUAAAUGCGGAAGAGAUAAGUGCUGAAAGCAUCUAAGCACGAAACUUGCCCCGAGAUGAGUUCUCCCUGACCCUUUAAGGGUCCUGAAGGAACGUUGAAGACGACGACGUUGAUAGGCCGGGUGUGUAAGCGCAGCGAUGCGUUGAGCUAACCGGUACUAAUGAACCGUGAGGCUUAACCU
This 2899-nucleotide ribosomal RNA is filed under the name Escherichia coli B26-1. Its description in RNAcentral is "bacterial LSU rRNA". It matches the Rfam family "Bacterial large subunit ribosomal RNA". Lineage: Bacteria; Pseudomonadati; Pseudomonadota; Gammaproteobacteria; Enterobacterales; Enterobacteriaceae. The record is from RNAcentral.